RNAcentral lists this ribosomal RNA (825 nucleotides) under Candidatus Saccharimonadota bacterium. Its description in RNAcentral is "partial 23S ribosomal RNA". It matches the Rfam family "Bacterial large subunit ribosomal RNA", at positions 1 to 493 of the family's 2925-position model. The record is from RNAcentral. Lineage: Bacteria; Candidatus Saccharimonadota.
AAAAAGCAAAAUAAGGGCGCACGAUGGAUGCCUUGACGUAAAGUGCCGAAGAAGGACGCAGCAGGGUGCGAUAAGCCUCGGGUAGCUACCAAGCAAGCUAUGAUCCGGGGAUUUCCGAAUGGGGAAACCUAUCUCAAGUCAUGUUGAGAUGAUCCGAACUGAAUUCAUAGGUUUGGAGACGGCAACUACCGGAACUGAAACAUCUUAGUACGGUAAGGAAAAGAAAUUAACCAAGAUUCUCUGAGUAGCGGCGAGCGAAAGGGGAAGAGCCUAAACUUAUCUUUUUUCCUAUCAUUAUCUAGAUUUUGUCUAGGUAAUUAGUAGGUUUAGUCAUUAAUUAAAAGAAAGGGUUGUGAGAUGUAGACCAUCAGUCAGUUGGACUCAAUUCUUGAGCUUAGCUGACUAAUGCUUGUCAUUGACUGAUGACAAAUAGGGUUACAAAAUAAGUUAUAGACAUAACAUUCUGGCUUGAUCAGUAAAUUCUUUAGCUUAGGUUAGGUAAUAGUUUUCUUUUUGCUUGAAGCUUAUUAAAAAUAAGCUGAGAGAUAAAAGAUAGCUAGGACUUACCUAAAUAAAUAAUUUAGGUGGCAAGUUAGGAUGUUGUGUCUAUUAUAUAGUAGAAGGUGCCUGGAAAGGACCACCAUAGAGCGUGAAAGUCGCGUAAACGAAAUAUACUUAUCCCUUUGUCUACAAAGGACUGACAUCUGUAAUAGCUUGCUAUUAUAAAUGUCAGUAAGUCUCAAGUAGGACGGGGCACGGGAAACCUUGUCUGAAGCUGGGGGGACCACCCUCCAACCCUAAAUACUACUUACAGAUCGAUAGUGA